This 72-nucleotide transfer RNA is filed under the name Schistometopum gregorii. Its description in RNAcentral is "tRNA-Lys". It matches the Rfam family "tRNA". Rfam says of the family: Transfer RNA (tRNA) molecules are approximately 80 nucleotides in length. Lineage: Eukaryota; Metazoa; Chordata; Amphibia; Gymnophiona; Dermophiidae. The record is from RNAcentral.
CAUUAAGUAGCUAAUAAGGUAAAGCAUUAGCCUUUUAAGCUAAUAUUGGUGUCCACCAACCACCCUUAAUGA